AUUGUUUUUAGCUCUUCUAUAUCCUGAGAAGAAGCGUCUAUGAUCUGCACCACAGUAUUUUAGGCCUACUGUCCGCUGUACUUAUAACUGGAGUUCUCACGGAUUCAAUAAAGAAUGCAGUCGGCCGGCCUCGGCCUGAUUUCUUCUGGCGCUGCUUUCCUGAUGGCAAAGAAUUGUACGACCAAUUCGGCAAUGUCGUAUGCCAUGGUAUAACAAAUGAGAUACGAGGACGU
Molecule: long non-coding RNA, 233 nt
Organism: Daucus carota subsp. sativus
Lineage: Eukaryota; Viridiplantae; Streptophyta; Magnoliopsida; Apiales; Apiaceae
Exons: 3
Source: RefSeq, a predicted model, not a curated record